UUGGAGGGCAAGUCUGGUGCCAGCAGCCGCGGUAAUUCCAGCUCCAGUAGCGUAUAUUAAAGUUGUUGCAGUUAAAAAGCUCGUAGUUGGAUUUCGGGGUCAGUAGGCUGGUCGUGCCUCAGGUACGUACUGGUCUUACUGAUUCCUCCUUCCUGACGAACCGUAAUGCCAUUAAUUUGGUGUUGCGGGGAAUCUGGACUGUUACUUUGAAAAAAUUAGAGUGUUUAAAGCAGGCUAACGCUUGAAUACAUUAGCAUGGAAUAAUGAAAUAGGACGAUCGAUCCUAUUUUGUUGGUUUCUAGGAUUGACGUAAUGAUUAAUAGGGAUAGUUGGGGGCAUUAGUAUUCAAUUGUCAGAGGUGAAAUUCUUGGAUUUAUUGAAGACUAACUACUGCGAAAGCAUUUGCCAAGGAUGUUUUCAUUAAUCAAGAACGAAAGUUAGGGGAUCGAAGACGAUCAGAUACCGUCGUAGUCUUAACCAUAAACUAUGCCGACUAGGGAUCGGAUGAUGUUAAUUUUUUAAUGACUCAUUCGGCGCCUUACGGGAAA
Molecule: ribosomal RNA, 548 nt
Filed under: uncultured Glomeromycotina
Lineage: Eukaryota; Fungi; Glomeromycota
Description: SSU rRNA
Rfam family: Eukaryotic small subunit ribosomal RNA
Source: RNAcentral